This 23-nucleotide ribosomal RNA is filed under the name Tylenchorhynchus leviterminalis. Its description in RNAcentral is "partial 28S ribosomal RNA". RNAcentral also lists the same sequence under 1 other name. Lineage: Eukaryota; Metazoa; Nematoda; Chromadorea; Rhabditida; Telotylenchidae. The record is from RNAcentral.
UUUUCGACCUGAACUCAGACGUG